GUUACCAUUCCCUCUCCCAUAUGCUCCAACUUUUAUGUCUGUUUUGCCAUCUAUUCCAUUAACCUUAUGAUUAAUGAAAGUCUCCAGAAUUUUAAAUACCUUGAAAGGGAGCCAACGCCUGGUCUUUGGAGGCUAUGUUGAAAAUAAACAACGAUAAAAACGGGGAGAUGCAGGCUUUUGAAGUCCUUAAAGACACGACCACUGUGAUCUUGGUACCACGGUGCAGAAAAGAGGACAGCAUUUCACAUUUCUGGCAUUACUAACGACAACACAGCCACUGAAAGCGAGCAUGAAUUUCUGGGAGUAGCAUUAGGAUACAGGGCUCCUGCUGAGCUCACCAGUUCCUUGCUCUGCACAGCUGCCUUCUCAGCUGGGGGUUUUUAAAUCAGCACAGUGAGAAAAGAUAGCAAUGGCCAUGAUGCAUCUUCCUCCCUGUGAGAAAAAGUUAUGGGAGAAGGAUUCUGAACUUCUUGUGGCUGUGCUGACAUCAGUAAGAGUUGGAGAAAGUAUACAUUUAAGAAAACGUAUACAUUCCCACCCACAGGAUAUUAAGGAUGGAUAAACGUUGAGCUGGGAGCCCAGCGCUGGAAGGACAUUCUAAGACAGAGACAACAGCAAACGCAGAGGGCAGAGAUGUGAGGAGUUCUGUCCAUCUGCCAUCAACGGAAGUUCAAAGAGGAAAAUGGGCCGGAUCACAAAAAAAUCCUUAUAUGAUAUAAAAAAAAAAAAAG
This is a long non-coding RNA of Herpailurus yagouaroundi (jaguarundi), 731 nucleotides long. RefSeq lists it as uncharacterized. NCBI's taxonomy places the organism in Eukaryota, Metazoa, Chordata, Mammalia, Carnivora, Felidae. The record is from RefSeq and is a predicted model, not a curated record. The transcript has 3 exons.